GCUGUGGCUCAGUGGAAGAGCAUCUGCUCUGCAUGCAGAAAGUCCCAAGUUCAAUUCCCAGCAUCUCCA
Molecule: transfer RNA, 69 nt
Filed under: Podarcis lilfordi (Lilford's wall lizard)
Lineage: Eukaryota; Metazoa; Chordata; Lepidosauria; Squamata; Lacertidae
Description: tRNA.Ala
Rfam family: tRNA
About the family: Transfer RNA (tRNA) molecules are approximately 80 nucleotides in length. Their secondary structure includes four short double-helical elements and three loops (D, anti-codon, and T loops).
Source: RNAcentral